GGGUCAGUAGGUUGGUCGUGCCACCGGUACGUACUGGUCUCACUGAUUCCUCCUUCCUGAAGAACCGUAAUGCCAUUAAUUUGGUGUUGCGGGGAAACAGGACUGUUCCUUUGAAAAAAUUAGAGUGUUUAAAGCAAGCUAACGCUUGAAUACAUUAGCAUGGAAUAAUGAAAUAGGACGAUCGAUCCUAUUUUGCUGGUUUCUAGGAUUGACGUA
Molecule: ribosomal RNA, 216 nt
Filed under: Glomeromycotina sp.
Lineage: Eukaryota; Fungi; Glomeromycota
Description: partial small subunit ribosomal RNA
Rfam family: Eukaryotic small subunit ribosomal RNA (bases 40-216)
Source: RNAcentral